AGUGAACGCUGGCGGUAGGCCUAACACAUGCAAGUCGAACGGCAGCACAGUAAGAGCUUGCUCUUACGGGUGGCGAGUGGCGGACGGGUGAGGAAUACAUCGGAAUCUACUUUUUCGUGGGGGAUAACGUAGUGAAACUUGCGCUAAUACCGCAUACGACCUACGGGUGAAAGCAGGGGAUCUUCGGACCUUGCGCGAUUGAAUGAGCCGAUGUCGGAUUAGCUAGUUGGCGGGGUAAAGGCCCACCAAGGCGACGAUCCGUAGCUGGUCUGAGAGGAUGAUCAGCCACACUGGAACUGAGACACGGUCCAGACUCCUACGGGAGGCAGCAGUGGGGAAUAUUGGACAAUGGGCGCAAGCCUGAUCCAGCCAUACCGCGUGGGUGAAGAAGGCCUUCGGGUUGUAAAGCCCUUUUGUUGGGAAAGAAAAGCAGCAGGUUAAUACCCCGCUGUUCUGACGGUACCCAAAGAAUAAGCACCGGCUAACUUCGUG
This 492-nucleotide ribosomal RNA is filed under the name uncultured bacterium. RNAcentral describes it as "partial 16S ribosomal RNA". It matches the Rfam family "Bacterial small subunit ribosomal RNA", at positions 29 to 507 of the family's 1533-position model. The record is from RNAcentral.